RNAcentral lists this long non-coding RNA (220 nucleotides) under Amborella trichopoda. Its description in RNAcentral is "long non-coding RNA (ATRI_LNC000658)". The record is from RNAcentral. Lineage: Eukaryota; Viridiplantae; Streptophyta; Magnoliopsida; Amborellales; Amborellaceae.
UAGAUUCAGGGUCUUCCUGAAAUAAUGCUUUAAGGUUCUAACUCUUGGAUUGCUACUCUAACUAUCGGCUCAUACAGUAUAAUCGAUUCAUUCGAGACAUUGAUUCUCUUACACUCGGUCACUUGGGUUGGGGUCAUCCUGAGAUAGCUUCCUUUAAAGUUAUACCCUUUCACUACCCUAACCACUGAGUUACACAAUGUUCGGGUUGUAAGAAGGUUUC